UUCUUUCCCUUUUCAACCAAAUUUAACUGUGGUCAGAAUUUAAAGGAACUUAAAAGAUUGUGAGUUUGUGCUUCAUUCUACUCUGCUUCUAUGAAGUGGCCCUAUUUAAAAGCACAAGGUGCUCUAGGAGUGAGUCAUCACAUUACCAACAUUACCUCACUGCUUCUGAUGCUGUGGAGGUUGAAGCAGGGGAGCUAACAGAAAACAGAGAGCAGGAAAUUGGAAACUGAGGUCCUCUUUGGUUAAGCGUUGACCACAGGUAGAAUAAUUUGCAUUGCAAUUGAUUAUCAGAACUUAUUUUAUAGAUGACUUGUGAGCUAUUCCCACAAAAUGUGUGGUUAUAUGCUAUAUAUUGCCAUGUUAAACACAUUAGGGCCAAUGAUGUAGCUGGCAGCUUCAAAAGGUUAAUUUGAUUCAGAAACCUCAGGUGUUGCUUGACUGAAACAAAUGGUUUUCCUACCAUCACCAAUGAAGGCCAUAGAAGAAAGUGAGCUAAAAUUUGGGUGCAGGGACCCUGGGACACACCCUUUGGGCAGAUGAUAUAAAUAAACUUGGUCUCCUCUUUAUGCAUGCAGGAACUAAGUUGACAGGGAUUCAAAUGACUUGCCACUACUCUAAUACUCUUCCUUACACUGGCUUGUACAGAUCAUGGUAGCAGAUGAAGGAUUUCAUGGCUUUACCAAGAUGCUCAAACAAUACUUCACUUUUGCUGCGUGAAGGCUAACUCCAUGCUCCCUAGGACAGCAAGGUUUACAAGGUUUCUAAAGGGGUUUGAGAUCUCGGAAAGGAACUUGCAUAUAACUAAAAGGCUGCCCAGGAAAUCAGGUAUGUAUGUAGACUGGGAGAGAGUAAAUAAAUUGGCAUGGGUGGAAGCUGAAAUGGAUCUUUGAAAGAGGCAAUGAGCAUCAUCACCUGAAUUAUUUAACUUGUGAAUUUUUGCUUUUCUGAUCUGCAUUGUUGUAAUUAAUGGACUCCAUCACAGGUUUGUACCAGUUUUCUUAGUGAAACAGUGGCAAAGUCUAAUAGCUGUGCUAAUGUCAAGCUGGACCUUAAUUAGUCAGCUGAAUUCCUGGACAGUACAGUGCCAGAAAGCAAGCUAAGGGUUAAAGUGUGGAUAUUCAAACACUAGGCUACAACCCCUUUCCUGGUGUUGUUUACUUCACAGAUAUGUAUGUAGCUGUCUGCCAAAGCUGUAGCUUUCCCAUAGUCAUAUUUAUCUAUAGGGUAAUGAAUCAGACAGAAAAUCAACGCGACAUUUCAAAUAUGGUCUCAUUAGUGCCCUUGUUUAGUGUCAAGAAUAAAUAUCAAGCAAAUUGCUCAGCAUUUCUCUUCUCACUUUCUGGAAUUAUAUUUUCCUUGUCUUAUUGCCUUUACACAUUGUGUUGGAUUUGAUUCUAGCCACUAACCCUAUAAUUCUUUUCUUGCUAUGUGCUUUAUGGUUAUGAUCUUUGACUGGCUAUUUCUUUAUUUGUCCCACAGACGACUAAUUUGCAUCUCCUCCUCUGAGUUGUAUAAGCUGCUUACUCAUCCCCCACUCCUUCUGCAGAGUUGCUGCAGACUUUGCUGCACUCCCUGAGUCACAUGAAGCAGGUGAGAAUGGUACACUGCCACUGAAUCAGUGGAUAUAAAGAAGCAAUCUCUAGUGGCACAAUCAGUUAAAGUUAUUUCUUACUUUGGACAAAAGAAGAACUAGGAGUGGGGAUGCCAACUAUGGUAGUCUAUGCUUUUUCAUCUUUACAUGGCCCACUUCCCUCCAAGUUGCAAUUUCUUUGAUUCUUCUGGAUCUGUGGCUUCUGUUGACCUUUUAUUCACGCCUGCCAACACUAGCUUCUUUUCAAAGAAGUCAAAUGUUGAUUGGGACAACUUUAGAUUUUCACAAUGGAAAAUUACCUUAGAAGUACUAAAAUUACUUCUUUCUUGAUUGAUUUUUUCUUUCCUUUUUUUUUUUCCUGACCUGCUUUGGCUUCAUGCAAUAGCAUACAAGUCAAGAAACAACAGCCAUGUGGAACUGUCAUUGGCAGCUCCCUGUGCUGACUGAUAACAAAAAAAUAACAACAACUUUCUUAAAUACAUAAUUUUAAAAAAAAGUUUACCAGAUUUUUCUUAAUAAAAUCUGUUUCUUUAGCAUACUAAUAUUAAAAAGUCCCGGAAAUGUUAAUUUAUAAGGGAAAACUGUUAUUGUCAUUACAUUUGGUGCUUACAUUUUUAAUGUUGCUUUUUUUUCCUUUAGGGUUUUCUUCAGGGAUGAAAGACAGGAUGUUCUUUCAGUAAAUGAUUUUCACCUGCUGUUGUUGACCCCGAACGACUAGAAUAACCUUACCUGCUAAAAUAAUUUCAGCUGAAAGCUAGUGAUUGACAUUCAUAAUUUUUAAGGGAUAAUAACUACAAGCUGCCUUUCAAUAAAAAGGGAUACAUUAGAGGAAGGUUUUGUUUCUUGACAUCUUCAGUGACUGUUUCACAAAAUGGUGUGUCAGGACUGCCGUAGUUCCUGGAGCGGGGGAAAAGCUGCAGAAGUCCCUGUGGAGACAGCCGGCAGUAACCUGCACUGCUUUGGUACUUGGGCUGAAAGGAGAAAGUGUGAAAGAGAGAAUGAUCAUCUCUGUCACUCCUACCAAUUCUCCUGUGCUGCACAUACUGAUGCAGCCACCUGGACACAUAUUGGAGAAAACCAUGUAUUAUGUAGGAGUGUGAAGCAUUCUGUGGGUUUGACCAGACACAUGGCUUUCAAUUCCUGCCUUUUGCGUAUGGGCAGGGAACAAGAUCAUCUUGAGAAGGCUGAUGAGAAGUUAAGCUACGAAUUUAAAACCAUAAGUUUAGAAGAAAUUGCUCCACUGAACCUACUUUGUCAUUCAAAUCAUAAGGGAAAGUCUCACCUCAUCAACAGCCCACAGAUAAUCAAGGCAGAAAAAAGUUACUCAGUUUCUUCUUAUGAGUUUGUUUGUUUGUUACCCUAACCAAUCUGCAUUUAUCAGAUGCUACUGCUAUUUUCUCCCAGUUUAGCUUUUUUGUGGGAGGUUGUCUUAUACGUGGAAUUAGCUGAAAUUUUGAGCCAGAUAUAUUAUCAUCUGCUGUAGUGUAAGUCUAGGGAUGUCUGUUGUUUCAUUAAGUAAAUUGCCUCAGCUUUUCAGGCCCAACUACAACUAGACUUUGAUCUAUUAGUACUUACAGGCUCAUUAGAUCUAGUAGCCCUGGGCAAAGGAUCUUCAACAUUAUUGACCUUUUGGUUCAAUCACAUUACAGUCUUGUAUCCUCAUUUGAAAGGUUGUUGAGUUCAGCAAAUGUAUAAUUAUGAACAUCAUCAUUCACAGAUCAGCUCUAAUCAUUAUGCAUUUCAGUUUUUCUUUGAAAGAAAACAAAAACCAGGGGUUGCCUUUUUUAAAAAAAAAAAUAUUUAAAUGUCCAAAUAAUUUGUUCACAGAUCGUAGAAUAGUUUCGGUUGGAAGGGACCUUAAAGAUCGUCUAGUUCCAAACCCCUGCGAUACACAGGGACACUUUUCACUAGACCAGGUUUCUCAGAGCUCCAUCCAACCUGGCCUUGAAUGCUUCUAGGACUGGGGCAUCCACAAGUUCAUUGAGCAAACCUACUCUCUUCUAGCAUUAAUCCAUUCCACCCUGUCCUGUCACUGCAUGCUCUUGUAAAAAGUGCCUCUCUAUCUUUCUUGCAGGCUCCCUUCAGGUACCGGAAGGCUGCAGUUAGGUCACCCUUAAGCCUUCUCUUUUCCAGGCUGAACAAACCCAGUUUUCUCAGCCUUACUAAGUACAUUUGAUUGAGUUUCUAAGAAAAUAUCCCCUGGAAGGACUUUUCACAAUUUACACUGUCUAAUUAGGAAAUACCCGUCUUUCAUUUGAUUUCAGACUGAGGUGACCAUUUCAGUUUGUGGACAAGAUCAAAUCAAAUUAGGAUUUACAGCCCAUCCACCUCCCUGCCCCCAUCCCCCUUAGUCAAUAAUUUUGAUUUCUCUUUAAGCAAUCCAACCAGAAGUCCAGGGAAGGCAUGAGGUUUUGUAGAAACCUUUUCCUUCUUUUAAAGUUUUAACCAUUAUGCACCCAGAGACUUUUCCCAAAUUUCUAUCUUUCUGAUGAAAAUCAGGGUCUUCCUGGAAGGAGAUCCAGUGAUGCACACUGGUGGUCUUCUCGUCUCUUCAACACACAAGCACAUACAGUUUUUAUGAAGAGAAAACCAAAGCAUAGGCAACAAGGAUGUUUACACAAUCCUCCAGUCUAUUUCCUGAGUCACUAUAACAAGCAGACUACACAUCCAUGCCUUAAGUCGUACAUGCUACAUAGUUCAUGUGCAAUACAUGUACUUUGUAAUGUUUAUUAAACAUGUAUAAGAUUUA
Long non-coding RNA from Pipra filicauda (Wire-tailed manakin), 4340 nucleotides. RefSeq lists it as uncharacterized. NCBI's taxonomy places the organism in Eukaryota, Metazoa, Chordata, Aves, Passeriformes, Pipridae. The transcript has 4 exons. The record is from RefSeq and is a predicted model, not a curated record.